RNAcentral lists this ribosomal RNA (492 nucleotides) under uncultured bacterium. RNAcentral describes it as "partial 16S ribosomal RNA". It matches the Rfam family "Bacterial small subunit ribosomal RNA", at positions 29 to 507 of the family's 1533-position model. The record is from RNAcentral.
AGUGAACGCUGGCGGUAGGCCUAACACAUGCAAGUCGAACGGCAGCACAGUAAGAGCUUGCUCUUACGGGUGGCGAGUGGCGGACGGGUGAGGAAUACAUCGGAAUCUACUUUUUCGUGGGGGAUAACGUAGGGAAACUUACGCUAAUACCGCAUACGACCUACGGGUGAAAGCAGGGGAUCUUCGGACCUUGCGCGAUUGAAUGAGCCGAUGUCGGAUUAGCUAGUUGGCGGGGUAAAGGCCCACCAAGGCGACGAUCCGUAGCUGGUCUGAGAGGAUGAUCAGCCACACUGGAACUGAGACAAGGUCCAGACUCCUACGGGAGGCAGCCGUGGGGAAUAUUGGACAAUGGGCGCAAGCCUGAUCCAGCCAUACCGCGUGGGUGAAGAAGGCCUUCGGGUUGUAAAGCCCUUUUGUUGGGAAAGAAAAGCAGCAGGUUAAUACCCCGCUGUUCUGACGGUACCCAAAGAAUAAGCACCGGCUAACUUCGUG